AAAGAAAGAUGUGAAAUCCCAGGGCUCAACCUUGGAACUGCAUUUUUAACUGCCGAGCUAGAGUAUGUCAGAGGGGGGUAGAAUUCCACGUGUAGCAGUGAAAUGCGUAGAUAUGUGGAGGAAUACCGAUGGCGAAGGCAGCCCCCUGGGAUAAUACUGACGCUCAGACACGAAAGCGUGGGGAGCAAACAGGAUUAGAUACCCUGGUAGUCCACGCCCUAAACGAUGUCAACUAGCUGUUGGGGCCGUUAGGCCUUAGUAGCGCAGCUAACGCGUGAAGUUGACCGCCUGGGGAGUACGGUCGCAAGAUUAAAACUCAAAGGAAUUGACGGGGACCCGCACAAGCGGUGGAUGAUGUGGAUUAAUUCGAUGCAACGCGAAAAACCUUACCUACCCUUGACAUGUCUGGAAAGCCGAAGAGAUUUGGCCGUGCUCGCAAGAGAACCGGAACACAGGUGCUGCAUGGCUGUCGUCAGCUCGUGUCGUGAGAUGUUGGGUUAAGUCCCGCAACGAGCGCAACCCUUGUCAUUAGUUGCUACGCAAGAGCACUCUAAUGAGACUGCCGGUGACAAACCGGAGGAAGGUGGGGAUGACGUCAAGUCCUCAUGGCCCUUAUGGGUAGGGCUUCACACGUCAUACAAUGGUCGGGACAGAGGGUCGCCAACCCGCGAGGGGGAGCCAAUCUCAGAAACCCGAUCGUAGUCCGGAUCGCAGUCUGCAACUCGACUGCGUGAAGUCGGAAUCGCUAGUAAUCGCGGAUCAGAAUGUCGCGGUGAAUACGUUCCCGGGUCUUGUACACACCGCCCGUCACACCAUGGGAGUGGGUUUCACCAGAAGUAGGUAGCCUAACCGCAAGGAGGGCGCU
This 865-nucleotide ribosomal RNA is filed under the name Alcaligenes sp. COD11. RNAcentral describes it as "bacterial SSU rRNA". It matches the Rfam family "Bacterial small subunit ribosomal RNA", at positions 584 to 1454 of the family's 1533-position model. Lineage: Bacteria; Pseudomonadati; Pseudomonadota; Betaproteobacteria; Burkholderiales; Alcaligenaceae. The record is from RNAcentral.